RNAcentral lists this small nuclear RNA (155 nucleotides) under Fukomys damarensis (Damara mole-rat). RNAcentral describes it as "U2 spliceosomal RNA". It matches the Rfam family "U2 spliceosomal RNA". Rfam says of the family: U2 is a small nuclear RNA (snRNA) component of the spliceosome (involved in pre-mRNA splicing). Complementary binding between U2 snRNA (in an area lying towards the 5' end but 3' to hairpin I) and the branchpoint sequence (BPS) of the intron results the bulging out of an unpaired adenosine, on the BPS, which initiates a nucleophilic attack at the intronic 5' splice site, thus starting the first of two transesterification reactions that mediate splicing. The record is from Rfam by way of RNAcentral. Lineage: Eukaryota; Metazoa; Chordata; Mammalia; Rodentia; Bathyergidae.
AUCGCUUCUCGGCCUUUUGGCUAAGAUCAAGUGUAGAAUAGAAGUCAUGAUUAAUAUAAUUGUUAGAAUAUAAUUCAUCCCCCUCUCUUAUAGUGUUAGCUAAAACAGUGAUGAAUUUUACAGUCAGUUCAAUAUUAGGAGCAACAGUUCCCUAA